This is a long non-coding RNA of Panicum virgatum (switchgrass), 2659 nucleotides long. RefSeq lists it as uncharacterized. The record is from RefSeq and is a predicted model, not a curated record. The transcript has 3 exons. Lineage: Eukaryota; Viridiplantae; Streptophyta; Magnoliopsida; Poales; Poaceae.
AAUCCGCGUACUGCCCCCACCCCUCCGCUAAUGGCAUGGCACCCGUACCCCCCGCCGCCUCCGCUGCUACGAGAGGGGCGCCGCCGAACGAUGACAAGGAGGAGGCCAUGGUGGAGGAGGCGGUCGUCUCCCUCGUCCUGCACCUCGAGCAUGACAUCAAGCGCUGCAAGCUCAAGCUGCUCCACUACUAGUUCCUAGUACACGCUCCCACGCUCACCGCCGCCCACCACCGGUGUAGCUUGACCUCCGUCCACCGCUCGCUAGAUCUCACGCCCUGCCGACGGCCACCGACCCAACCACCUUGCUCGCCCUUCAACCUAGAGGACUUCAAGGUAUAUACGCCCCCUAUUACUCCCCGUCCUCCCUCCAAUCGCGGCUGGCAUGCCGGCAACCCCCAACCCCACCACCGCACUCUCCCUCACCUUCGACCUUGAGGACUUCAAGGCAUAUACGCACCCCUACUGCUGCCCGUCUUCCUCCCUCUGAUCCCGCUCCGAUUCUGGCCAUCUCCGCCGUGGCAAACUCUCACCCGUGCAGUACAAGGGACUUCUCUUUCGAUGCAUUGUUCGGGGUCUGGUGGACUAGCUGCUCUCGGAAUACCGCAGGGAGGAUGAAUCCUCGAUUGUGUCACCCCCGCCCUGCCUUCUUCCCCGCCGUCGACGAGCUGCUCGGCCUAUUCAAGCACUCGUGCAAGGAGCUUGUUAACUACAUGCAGGUCCGUCGUGUCAUGCCCCCUUCUGCCUGUGGCACUGAAUGCUGACUGUGUCUACAUUCAAUCGCCUGACUGAAUCGAGUGGGUUGUUGGUUCUUGGAGAUGUUGUUGUGUGCUCUGAUGGUGUGGUGUUUUUCUAUUUUUGGUUGACAUAUUGACAAGCAACUCCAGAAUCUGAAGGAGGAGGUCGCCAUGCAGGACGCUAAGCAUUGCAAGACACGGACGAGAAGGCCAGUGCUCGAGUAGAACAACUCGCUCAUCCUUGCAAACUUCGUGUAAUUCCUCUACCUGUGAAGAACGACCACAACUGGAAUUCUCAGUACGAUGUCAAGAGCACAGAAGCAACAUCAAGGCCAAGCAGAGUUUUCAAGAUUUCAGAUUAGCAAGAGCGGAAUAAGAAGAAAACAUGAUGAAGACGCCACACAACUACAUAGAAGACCGCAUCUGGUGUCACACACUUACAAAGAGGGCCCACCUGGCAGAGCAAACGGGGGCACCAUGGAAGAUGCACGAAAGGAUAAGGUUGAGGGCCCACCUGUUAGCCUGCCAGAAGAGGAUAAGGAUGAGGGGACACUAGGUGUGGUCGGCUGACACCACAGGUCGGCCGAACUUGGCCUGGUUCCCGUCCAGGUUCAUUUCGAGGAAGAGUCGCGGCCGAGGCACCUAAUCACCUUCCAUACUUGCAUUUGGCGGGAAUCGACCUCCAACAGUAUAAAUAGGGCCUCUCCAUCCCCCCUCACACACACACACACACACACUCCAUUUCACACACCCACUCCCUCUCUUGCUCUCUUGCUUAGGUAGUGGAGCUAGGCUAGUUUUCUCUUAGCAAAUCAAGUCAUCCUCAGAGUCAUUGAGCGAUCCUCGGCUCCCGGUAUGGCUUUGUAUUCUAUCUGCUAGCUUUCUAUUCAAAAUAUAGAGUUAUGCCAUGGUUGCUUUACUAUCUCGAUAGUUUAUCAAUCCAUGCUUUGGUUAUUCAUGAGUUGUGCUACGAAUAUGGUUAGGCCAGAUGAUCCGGGUAUGGAUAUUGGUUCAUUAUGCUUUUGGGCUUGCUCUAGUAUUUUACUUGUCCAUCCGAAGGGUGGGAGAUCCGGGGAUGCUAGAGUAGUGACCUCAUACACGAGCGUGGUGCUCGGGUAUGCGGGAUCCUUCGUAUAUAACUGUGCUCCACGAUGUGACUGGGGUAGACGACAGGAGGUGACAGCCCUGUCCAUCCGUCGUAACAGUUGUGUUGCGAUUAGUGCAUUCCCCGAUGUUCAGGUACUGUGUAGGAGUUCAUGCAAAGAGGUAACGGGACUGGAUGUUCUCCAGUGCGGGACCUUCUCCACGCUAUCCCAUUUUCCUGGCACCCAGCCCUAACCAUGUCCUAACAUAACUUUUGCUUUGAAUAUAAGCAAUGGGAUCUCUAACCUAGCUUAAGCUCCAGCUAACUUAACAUAGGAUAGUUUAGUUCGUUCUUAUGUUCUUUUGUUCUUUUAUCAUUUUCUUCCUAGGGUGUUAGUUGUGUGCUUGUGUCACAUUACCCUGAUUUAUUUUCUUGAUUAUGGCUUACCCCUAUUAGAGCUAUGCCUAUUACUUGAGGAACGAUGCCAUGAUUAAUGUUAAGUAUAAUACCUUUGCUACAACCAUCCUUUGGGAAAACAUAAAUCACGAUACCCUUACUCUCUGGGUGAAAUGCUACAACGGUAUAUCCGUGCGCUUGCGGAUCCCAUCUGUAAUCGUAUAGACUAUACCAUGAGAAUGGCGUUUCUUCGUGUAGUUGCUAGGGAUGGGCUUAACACCCCCGUUCCAAGUGAUUAUGCUAAGAAAAGUCAACAAGCAUUUUUGGCGCCAUUGCCGGGAACUAACAACUCCUGGUGGCGAUGUUAAGAAAGGUCAACAACAUGCCUUUCGAGGGCGAUCAAGAGCAAGUGUUUGAGGAAGAGCAACAACAAUUGGACGAGCAAG